This 76-nucleotide transfer RNA is filed under the name Paludibacteraceae bacterium. Its description in RNAcentral is "tRNA-His". It matches the Rfam family "tRNA". From Rfam's summary of the family: Transfer RNA (tRNA) molecules are approximately 80 nucleotides in length. Their secondary structure includes four short double-helical elements and three loops (D, anti-codon, and T loops). Further hydrogen bonds mediate the characteristic L-shaped molecular structure. tRNAs have two regions of fundamental functional importance: the anti-codon, which is responsible for specific mRNA codon recognition, and the 3' end, to which the tRNAs corresponding amino acid is attached (by aminoacyl-tRNA synthetases). tRNAs cope with the degeneracy of the genetic code in two manners: having more than one tRNA (with a specific anti-codon) for a particular amino acid; and 'wobble' base-pairing, i.e. permitting non-standard base-pairing at the 3rd anti-codon position. Lineage: Bacteria; Pseudomonadati; Bacteroidota; Bacteroidia; Bacteroidales; Paludibacteraceae. The record is from RNAcentral.
GGUGGUUGUAGCUCAGUUGGUUAGAGCGUCGGAUUGUGGUUCCGAAGGUCACGGGUUCGAACCCCGCCCUCCACCC